This 253-nucleotide ribosomal RNA is filed under the name uncultured bacterium. Its description in RNAcentral is "partial 16S ribosomal RNA". It matches the Rfam family "Bacterial small subunit ribosomal RNA", at positions 524 to 776 of the family's 1533-position model. The record is from RNAcentral.
UACGGGGGGGGCAAGCGUUGUUCGGAAUUACUGGGCGUAAAGGGCGCGUAGGCGGCCCGCUAAGUCGAACGUGAAAUCCCCGGGCUCAACCCGGGAACUGCGUCCGAUACUGGCAGGCUUGAAUCCGGGAGAGGGAUGUGGAAUUCCAGGUGUAGCGGUGAAAUGCGUAGAUAUCUGGAGGAACACCGGUGGCGAAGGCGGCAUCCUGGACCGGUAUUGACGCUGAGGCGCGAAAGCCAGGGGAGCAAACAGG